CCUACGGGUGGCAGCAGUGAGGAAUAUUGGUCAAUGGACGAGAGUCUGAACCAGCCAAGUAGCGUGAAGGAUGACUGCCCUAUGGGUUGUCAACUUCUUUUAUAAAGGAAUAAAACGAGGCACGUGUGCCUUUUUGCAUGUACUUUAUGAAUAAGGAUCGGCUAACUCCGGGCCAGCAGCCGCGGUGAUACGGAGGAUCCGAGCGUUAUCCGGAUGUAUUGGGGUUAACGGGAGCGUAGAGGGGUUGUUAAGUCAGUUGUGACAGUUUGCGGCUCAACCGUAAAAUUGCAAUUGAUACUGGCAGCCUUGAGUACAGUUGAGGUAGGCGGCAUUCGUGGUGUAGCGGUGACAUGCUUAGAUCUCACG
Molecule: ribosomal RNA, 366 nt
Filed under: uncultured bacterium
Lineage: Bacteria
Description: partial 16S ribosomal RNA
Rfam family: Bacterial small subunit ribosomal RNA
Source: RNAcentral